CAGCACCACAAGUGGUCAGGAUGAUUAGUGGGCCUAAAGCAUCCGUAGCCGGCGCUGUAAGUUUUCGGUUAAAUCUGUACGCUCAACGUACAGGCUGCCGGGAAUACUGCAGCGCUAGGGAGUGGGAGAGGUAGACGGUACUCGGUAGGAAGGGGUAAAAUCCUUUGAUCUAUUGAUGACCACCUGUGGCGAAGGCGGUCUACCAGAACACGUCCGACGGUGAGGGAUGAAAGCUGGGGGAGCAAACCGGAUUAGAUACCCGAGUAGUCC
This 270-nucleotide ribosomal RNA is filed under the name uncultured archaeon. RNAcentral's name for it is "partial 16S ribosomal RNA". It matches the Rfam family "Archaeal small subunit ribosomal RNA", at positions 477 to 747 of the family's 1478-position model. The record is from RNAcentral.